AAAGUCUAAACGACUCUCGCCAACGGAUAUMUCGGCUCUCGCAUCGAUGAAGAACGCAGCGAAAUGCGAUACUUGGUGUGAAUUGCAGAAUCCCGUGAACCAUCGAGUCUUUGAACGCAAGUUGCGCCCGAAGCCUUGGCUGAGGGCACGUCUGCCUGGGU
Molecule: ribosomal RNA, 161 nt
Filed under: Terminalia ivorensis
Lineage: Eukaryota; Viridiplantae; Streptophyta; Magnoliopsida; Myrtales; Combretaceae
Description: 5.8S ribosomal RNA
Rfam family: 5.8S ribosomal RNA
About the family: 5.8S ribosomal RNA (5.8S rRNA) is a component of the large subunit of the eukaryotic ribosome. It is transcribed by RNA polymerase I as part of the 45S precursor that also contains 18S and 28S rRNA.
Source: RNAcentral